RNAcentral lists this ribosomal RNA (264 nucleotides) under Escherichia coli. Its description in RNAcentral is "partial 23S ribosomal RNA". It matches the Rfam family "Bacterial large subunit ribosomal RNA", at positions 2685 to 2925 of the family's 2925-position model. Lineage: Bacteria; Pseudomonadati; Pseudomonadota; Gammaproteobacteria; Enterobacterales; Enterobacteriaceae. The record is from RNAcentral. RNAcentral also lists the same sequence under 1 other name.
GAGAGGACCGGAGUGGACGCAUCACUGGUGUUCGGGUUGUCAUGCCAAUGGCACUGCCCGGUAGCUAAAUGCGGAAGAGAUAAGUGCUGAAAGCAUCUAAGCACGAAACUUGCCCCGAGAUGAGUUCUCCCUGACCCUUUAAGGGUCCUGAAGGAACGUUGAAGACGACGACGUUGAUAGGCCGGGGGUGUAAGCGCAGCGAUGCGUUGAGCUAACCGGUACUAAUGAACCGUGAGGCUUAACCUUACAACGCCGAAGGUGUUU